This 253-nucleotide ribosomal RNA is filed under the name uncultured bacterium. RNAcentral's name for it is "partial 16S ribosomal RNA". It matches the Rfam family "Bacterial small subunit ribosomal RNA", at positions 524 to 776 of the family's 1533-position model. The record is from RNAcentral.
UACAGAGGGGGCAAGCGUUGUUCGGAAUUACUGGGCGUAAAGGGCGCGUAGGCGGCCCGCUAAGUCGAACGUGAAAUCCCCGAGCUCAACUCGGGAACUGCGUCCGAUACUGGCGGGCUUGAAUCCGGGAGAGGGAUGCGGAAUUCCAGGUGUAGCGGUGAAAUGCGUAGAUAUCUGGAGGAAUACCGGUGGCGAAGGCGGCAUCCUGGACCGGCAUUGACGCUGAGGAGCGAAAGCCAGGGGAGCAAACGGG